UACGGAGGGGGCAAGCGUUGUUCGGAUUUACUGGGCGUAAGGGGCGCGUAGGCGGCCACGACAAGUCACUUGUGAAAUCUCCGGGCUUAACUCGGAACGGUCAAGUGAUACUGUCGGGCUAGAGUACAGAAGGGGCAACUGGAAUUCUCGGUGUAGCGGUGAAAUGCGUAGAUAUCGAGAGGAACACCUGCGGCGAAGGCGGGUUGCUGGGCUGAUACUGACGCUGAUGCGCGAAAGCCAGGGGAGCGAACGGG
This 254-nucleotide ribosomal RNA is filed under the name uncultured bacterium. RNAcentral describes it as "partial 16S ribosomal RNA". It matches the Rfam family "Bacterial small subunit ribosomal RNA", at positions 524 to 776 of the family's 1533-position model. The record is from RNAcentral.